Molecule: non-coding RNA, 298 nt
Organism: Cinara cedri
Lineage: Eukaryota; Metazoa; Arthropoda; Insecta; Hemiptera; Aphididae
Source: the annotation of a GenBank genome assembly
CUUAAGUUUGUUUUCACAAGAAAGCUCAAUUUAAUUUUCUAUGCUAUUUUUACUAUUAGUAUAUCUACUAUGUUUGUUCAAUCCAUUCAUAAUUUAUACGAUUAUUUUUAGGAAAAUACUCGUCAAAUGAUUUUUUAAAGGCUGUUAAAUGUUCAUAUACUAACUCAGCAAUGUCUUCAUACUAGUAUAAUUUUAAACAGAAGACUUAUUGCAAUCCAGUUUUAAAUCUUAUGGACAAAAAUUAGUUUGAAACCCACCAAUUAAAGACCACUGGUUUAAAUGAUUAAAUAAAAUUUAA